This is a long non-coding RNA of Sycon ciliatum, 1444 nucleotides long. RefSeq lists it as uncharacterized. The record is from RefSeq and is a predicted model, not a curated record. NCBI's taxonomy places the organism in Eukaryota, Metazoa, Porifera, Calcarea, Leucosolenida, Sycettidae. The transcript has 3 exons.
UAAUUAUUGUUUUUGAGGAGGCAACUUCAUGUUGUGGAGAGAUUGCAUGCAACAGUAUUCUUCGAAAGACUGGCAGGUGACUUUAUUUUUGACCUCCUGCCAUGUCCGAACUUCUUGAUAGCAGCGAUGACAACAGCAGCAGUGAUGAGACCGUGUGCAGUUUAGCAGUAAAGCAUGUCGUUGUGGAUCUGAAGGUGUUUUGGGAGUGGUGUCAAGGGGAAUUGGCUAAUUCCAGCUUCCGUAGGCAUUGCCCACAACACGCUGAAAUAAUAUGUAAACUUCAGCAAUUGCCUGCAAGCGAGAAGAAUGUAGUGGAUCUCUUGGAGGCUGUGUCGCGUGAGGUACAGAGCUGCCUCGCCAGGCCCACAAUGAAUGCAUCACGCAUGGCAUUGGGAGUACUCCGUGCUUGUCCGACUGUUAUAAGGCCGCUUUGGCUUGCUGCUGUGGGAAAGGCGGUUGAAAUUUCACAGGUUUCGUAUGAUGACGGUAUACAACUUGCAUUAUUUGCACGUUUUGUCGACUUCUGUUGGCACUGGGUGCGGGCAGCGUCUGCUUGUAGUCAGAAUGUCUCUUCACCUCUACCUGUCGAAGUGACCAAAAGCCCCCGCAGAUGACUGCUCAGCGGAUAAGACCUUGCGGUAGGUUUUCUGUGUGUUUCUUCCUGCUACCCAUCACAUGAUCGUAACCAGCAGCUUUUUUUCUGUAGUCAUUUAUGGUGAAAGUGGCAUGUACAUAUAUAUUAUUAUGGUGAUGAGUUUCGGUCAGGGAGUUUGAGUACGACUCCCUGAUCUGGACCUUCGAUUAGCACCUUCUUUUUUUCUUCUUUUUCUCUUUUUCUCUCUUACUUUUUUCUGGUUCGAGUAAACCUUGCCGUCAUUUUGUCAUCAUAAUUAAUAUUAAUUAUGACUGGCGUUUCCUUUUCCUCGCGUCAGCCAAGAAUACUACUAUCUAUUGUGGUGGUACUUCUUUCCAAACCUAACAGUGCGGAGACACCCCUCGUCUCUGGGCCUGUGAUGAUUCCCAUGAUUUCAGCAUCAGAGCUGCUCGCUCUUGCUUCUUCAUUCCAGGCUCGCUCUUCAUGCAUCCACUGAAAGGGAAUUUUGAGGCGUUGUUGUGUGGUGACCGUCACUCACUGGUAUACGCCAACGUAUCAGUAUUUGCUCUCGAACUAUCCAUGUACUUGUAUCAAUAUUCUCAUCGUUCUCGGAUCGAGGACGGUCCUUCGAGUUUCCAGUGCCAGUAAUGAACCCAUAAGUAGAACGACCACCGACGGGCAACAACCAUCAUGCCUUGCCGAUGGACCAAACCGAAGACCACGACUUGGAUGGGAACGCCGUGGGUGUCGAGACGGCACAGCAAGGAUGAGAGGACGGCCGACCUGUCCUGUGUCCUACAGGUAUACAUGACUGUAUUCCUGCUCAUUGUACUGCAUGUAAACUGCCUC